Molecule: ribosomal RNA, 1305 nt
Filed under: uncultured bacterium
Lineage: Bacteria
Description: partial 16S ribosomal RNA
Rfam family: Bacterial small subunit ribosomal RNA
Source: RNAcentral
AGUGGCGAACGGGUGAGUAACGCGUGAGAAACCUGCCUUUCACAAAGGGAUAGCCUCGGGAAACUGGGAUUAAUACCAUAUAAAGUUCCAAAUUAGCAUUAAAAAGGAACCAAAGUGUAAGCGGUGAAAGAUGGUCUCGCGUCCCAUUAGCUAGUUGGUGAGAUAAAAGCUCACCAAGGCGACGAUGGGUAGCCGGCCUGAGAGGGUGACCGGCCACACUGGAACUGAGACACGGUCCAGACUCCUACGGGAGGCAGCAGUAGGGAAUAUUGGGCAAUGGAGGCAACUCUGACCCAGCCAUGCCGCGUGAAGGAAUACAGCCCUACGGGUUUUAAACUUCUUUUAUUAUAGAGUAACCGGAGGUACGUGUACCUCCCUGCAAGUAUAUAAUGAAUAAGGAUCGGCUAACUCCGUGCCAGCAGCCGCGGUAAUACGGAGGAUCCGAGCGUUAUCCGGAUUUAUUGGGUUUAAAGGGUGCGCAGGCUGAUCGAUAAGUCAGGGGUGAAAAAUUUCAGCUUAACUGUAACAGUGCCGUUGAUACUGUUUGGCUAGGAUUUGGUUGUAGUGUGCGGAAUGUGUGGUGUAGCGGUGAAAUGCUUAGAUAUCACACAGAACACCGAUUGCGACGGCAGCACACUAAGUCAUUAUUGACGCUGAGGCACGAAAGUGUGGGGAUCAAACAGGAUUAGAUACCCUGGUAGUCCACACUGUAAACGAUGAUAACUCGCUGUCGGCGAUACACAGUCGGUGGCCAAGCGAAAGCAUUAAGUUAUCCACCUGGGGAGUACGACCGCAAGGUUGAAACUCAAAGGAAUUGACGGGGGCCCGCACAAGCGGAGGAACAUGUGGUUUAAUUCGAUGAUACGCGAGGAACCUUACCCGGGCUCGAACGGUGCAUGAAUAUACGAGAGAUUGUAUAGUCCUUCGGGACAUGUAUCGAGGUGCUGCAUGGUUGUCGUCAGCUCGUGCCGUGAGGUGUUAGGUUAAGUCCUGCAACGAGCGCAACCCUUACUUUUAGUUGCCAGCAUGUUAUGAUGGGGACUCUAGAAGAACUGCCGGCGCAAGCCGUGAGGAAGGUGGGGAUGACGUCAAAUCAGCACGGCCCUUAUGUCCAGGGCUACACACGUGCUACAAUGGUCGACACAGAGGGCAGCUACUUGGUGACAAGAUGCGAAUCUCUAAAUUCGAUCUCAGUUCGGAUCGAAGUCUGCAACUCGACUUCGUGAAGUUGGAUUCGCUAGUAAUCGCACAUCAGCCAUGGUGCGGUGAAUACGUUCCCGGGCCUUGUACUCACCGCCCGUCAAG